RNAcentral lists this transfer RNA (73 nucleotides) under Thermoplasmata archaeon. Its description in RNAcentral is "tRNA-Glu". It matches the Rfam family "tRNA". From Rfam's summary of the family: Transfer RNA (tRNA) molecules are approximately 80 nucleotides in length. Their secondary structure includes four short double-helical elements and three loops (D, anti-codon, and T loops). Lineage: Archaea; Methanobacteriati; Thermoplasmatota; Thermoplasmata. RNAcentral also lists the same sequence under 2 other names. The record is from RNAcentral.
GCUCCUGUAGUGUAGCGGCCAAUCAUGUCGCCCUUUCGAGGCGACGACUCGGGUUCGAAUCCCGACAGGAGCA